Molecule: long non-coding RNA, 3229 nt
Filed under: Salmo salar (Atlantic salmon)
Lineage: Eukaryota; Metazoa; Chordata; Actinopteri; Salmoniformes; Salmonidae
Description: lncRNA (ENSSSAG00000114695.1)
Source: RNAcentral
GACUGUUUGUAUGCUGCUUUAUUAACUCAAUUAUGUAAAAAAUUACAUUGUUUGCAAACUGAUAUGUGACACAUAUUAAUGCUGAAACAACAUGCAAAACAGGCAACCAUUUUUUAUAAAAAAGAUUUGCUACACAGGUGGGGCUCAAAACAGGUGGGGCUCAACCCCACCUGCCCUGGAAGACGGGUCUGCUUCCUAUAGAAUAAAAACCUGAAGUUCAAUUUGUUUCCAUCGCAUUUUCUACUCUACCGAUAGUUGUCACAAACUGUUGCAUGUAAAAAAAAAAACGUGUUUCCUGAUCUCUCAGAUAUAGAACAGACACUUCGGAACAAACUUCCUUUAGAUUUUUUUUUUGGGGGGGGACUAUCUGUUGUUCCAUGUAGUGAAUCUGUUAUUCAAUACGUUUGUAUGGGCUAAUACACAAAAAAUGAUUUGUUUCAACUUAUUAUUUCCAGUGAUCUAGUUGCGUAGCCCUUUUCAAGCUCAGUUUACUUUACAUUUCACGUUAUCCUAGCUUUUAAUACAUUUAUUUUGACUAACAAUAGACGGUUAAUUUGACAUUUGUUAAUUCUUAAUUUAAUAUUAUUUGAAUCAACUUAAACCUUUGUUAUGUUAACAAUAAAUGUGGAGUUCUAAUAACUAAAGCUACAUUAUUGUUGACAAAUAAAAGACAGUUAAGUCCACUGCUUCAUUUUUCAGUGUAACUUACUAUUCUCAUUUGAAUCAACUUAAACAUUUAUUAACUCAACAUUUAUUGUUGACGAAUAAAAAACAUUUAAGUCCACAUCAUGUCAGUAUAACCGACCAUUUUUAGUUGAAUUAAUUUCACAUUUUUGUUAAGUCAACUUUCAAUUAAGUUAUUGUAACUAGUAAUACAGCUUUCAUAACAAAAUGGUCUAAGCAAGGAUAACGUGACAUGUUAAGUGCUCUGAGCUUGAAAAAGGCCACGCAACUAGAUGACUGGAAAUAACAAGUUGAAACAACCUUACAGCUAGAGUUAUCUGAACUAAAGUCAGUUACUUCAAUUUAGAAAAGAGUUAACCAUUUGCCAUUAUAACUUACUAUUCUGAGUUGAAUCUUUUUCCAAUUUUGUUGUCAACUUUUAUUAAAGUUAUCAUAACUAGUAACACAGUUAUGAUAACUACAUUUAAAGUCUACAUAACAAAAUUGUCUAAGCUAGGAUAAGGUGACAUGUAACGUACUCUGAGCUUGAACAAGGCCAUGUAACUAGAUAACUGGAAAUAAUAAGUUGAAACAACAUUAAAGUGUGAGUUAUCUGAUCUAAAGACACAUUUAAAAGAGUUAACUUAAGUCAAGCCUAUUUCAUAUUGAGUUAUUGUAACACAGAGUGCUCAACCUGUUUGGCUGGUGGUGCUACACUGUGGCUACGAGCAAGUCAAGCAGCCCACACAAAUAAAUAACUAUACUAUUAAUGACAUAACAUACAAGCUUGCCACAGGCUGCAAGUUGAGAACCACUAUUCAAACGCAACAAAAUGACUGACUAAUUAAACAUGUCGACAUAAUAUAACCCAGUUCAACGAUGUUCAGACUUAGUAAAGCUUAUCUCCAUUUCAAAAUGACUUUAUAUUUACAAUAAUUGAUUUACCAUCAAGAGUACAUUGAAAUCAGUUAAUUCCAUCUAGCUUGUAAUGACAACAAAAUAGUCCUAUCGUGUAUUUCAGAACAUUUAUUAAUCUAUGUAUUAACAAACAAAUACAUUUGCAACAAUGUAUUGUUCCCUAGAAUGCAUUUUGAUUGUCAUCAGUAUUUUUUUUUAACAAUGUAUAUUUUUAGAUGCAUGUCUUCAGGUACAUUUAAACGAGUAGCCAAAUUCUGCAGUCACUAAUUGGUCUUUUAAUCAAUAUCAGCUAAGAAUUUUGUUUUCAAAUGAGAAAUAUUUUGUCAAAAAAAUAAAUAAAUGAUUCUACUGUCCAAUAAACCCAUACACAUUUGUAAAUGGUACCACUGAAACACGGUUUUAUGGAACGGUAAAAAAAAAAAAUCCAACUGAGCAAAGACAACCUUCAGAAUGGUUUCUAAGCCAAGUUGGUGUUGAGUGUGAAAAAUUAUAACAUGCUGUAAACAUUUUCAGAAUGCACUGUAGUUAAUGGGAAGAGAUGAUAGCAAAUCAAUGGUCUCUAACAAAAGACAGUUGUAGUUUGUAGACUGAAGGUCACACGUAAAAAUAGGAUAACUUAAGUCUUCCCAAAACUGAGAUUUGUAAGAUUUAGGCAAAUAACAGCAUCGUUGUCCGAGGAAUUAACUCAACUAUUGCCAGUAAAACAAAAACACACCAAUUAGAUGUCUUAACAAAGAAGACGGUUCUUCAGCCCAUGUACUUUUGCUGUACAGUUUUCUGCACCAAUCUUCAACAAUAUUUUCUGAACUACCUCAAAAGUAUUCCUCAAACAUUUUGGGUAAUCCAUGUUCAGAUAAUUAAGAAGCCCAAUCAAAGUGGCAAAGGCAUUUGGAACAUUGUGAAGCUCAUGUAUGAUCACCUGCUCUUCUAUCACAAGGGCAACGUCCACAUUGUCAGCUGGCAUUGGGUCAUCUGCUGCAGCUCCAUCCACAACGACAAGGAAGGCCAACGUCCACACUGUCAACUGGCAUUGGGUCAUCUGCUGCAGCUCCUUCCACAACGACAAGUAUACCGAUUUUCACUCAGUGGGGUUGUAUACCUCACGUCUUCAAAAAAUUGGUAGGGUCUUCUCGCAGGAAGUCUGGCAAGCCUCGGAGCACAGCACACUCUACCUUUGAUUGGAACUCUAACAACAAAUGCACAAUUGACUGUUUUACGACAUUGUUAAUGUGGUUGUCAACGAUAAGGUCUCAUCCCCAAUAUUGAUGUGUAUUUAAAAAAGUAGCAAUUAUCAAUACACCAUAACGUAGGUAAUAACUGUACAGAAGACUUUAAUGUCAAUAUUAUGGAACAUACGUCUUUGUCAAGACUGUCCAUAAGGUGUUUUAGCUCCAUCCCUCCACCACUCUUGGCCCGGGAGAAUUCAAGGAGCUUAGAAAGAUGACUGUCCAGGCCUUCAUAAAAUGUCUUCUUGAGGUCCACAGACACCAGUCUCAUGAACUCCAGAGCAACCUGUUUGAAAAGCAUAACAUACCAGGGAAGGAAUUUUAGGGAUAAGGGGGUGCCUAAUCUGCCAGUGCACCAAAACAAAUCAUCCAGGGCACAAAGGCCAUCAAGCAAAAUAGACAUUGCAUUGCUACAAAACAAC